GCCCGGCUGGCUCAGUGGGUGGAGCGUGCGGCUCUUGGUCUGAGGUCGUGAGUUCUAGCUCCUUGUUGGGUGUAGAGAUUGCUUAAAAAAUAAAAUAAAAUCUUUGGGGCUCCCGGGUGGCUCUGUCAGUUAAGCGUCUGACUCUUGAUCUCAGCUCAGGUCUUGACCUCAGGGUCAUGAGUUCAAGCCCCAUGUUGGGCU
Molecule: transfer RNA, 201 nt
Filed under: Ailuropoda melanoleuca (giant panda)
Lineage: Eukaryota; Metazoa; Chordata; Mammalia; Carnivora; Ursidae
Description: tRNA-Lys
Source: RNAcentral